CAAACGGCUCUUUUAAGAGCCACCCACAUAAUAGUAAAGAGCAUU
This is a non-coding RNA of Danio rerio (zebrafish), 45 nucleotides long. NCBI's taxonomy places the organism in Eukaryota, Metazoa, Chordata, Actinopteri, Cypriniformes, Danionidae. The record is from Rfam.